Molecule: non-coding RNA, 21 nt
Organism: Caenorhabditis elegans
Lineage: Eukaryota; Metazoa; Nematoda; Chromadorea; Rhabditida; Rhabditidae
Source: Ensembl
UGUUACUCUAUACAAAAAAAA